This 29-nucleotide non-coding RNA is filed under the name Cricetulus griseus (Chinese hamster). RNAcentral also lists the same sequence under 1 other name. Lineage: Eukaryota; Metazoa; Chordata; Mammalia; Rodentia; Cricetidae. The record is from RNAcentral.
GCGGGAAACUCGACUGCAUAAUUUGUGGU